GAGCCAGGUUGGCCCUGUUAAGGGGUUCUCCUGGGAGUCCAGACCAGGCUGCAGUGGGCGGUGGUGCUCCUGGGAGUCCAGGCCAGGCUGCGGUGGGAAGGGGUUCUCCUGGGAGUCCAGGCCUGGCUGCGGUGGGAAGGGGUUCGCCUGGGAGUCCAGGCCUGGCCGCUAUGUAUGGGGGUUCUCCUGGGAGUCCAGGCCAGGCUGCGGUGGGAAAGGGUUCGCCUGGGAGUCCAGGUCUGGCCGCUAUGUAUGGGGGUUCUCCUGGGAGUCCAGGCCAGGCUGCGGUGGGAAGGAUUUCUCCUGGGAGUCCAGGUCUGGCCACUAUAUAUGGGGGUUCUCCUGGGAGUCCAGGCCUGGCCGCUAUGUAUGGGGGUUCUCCUGGGAGUCCAGGCCAGGCUGCGGUGGGAAGGGGUUCUCCUGGGAGUCCAGGCCAGGCUGCGGUGGGAAGGGGUUCUCCUGGGAGUCCAGGCCAGGCUGUGGUGGGCGGGGCUUCUCCUGGGGGUCCUGGCAGGGCUGCAGGGGGUAAUAGUGAUUUCUUGUCCUUCAGCCUGGACAGCUGAAGCUCCUUUAUCUUGUCCUUCCAUAACUGCACCUUUUGCUGGAGUUUCAGGACCUUCAGGGCACUGGCUGAGUAAUCAGGGAAAAUCCGAGCCAGGUCCUUCCGUAAAGAUUCCUGGAACUCAGGCCGAAUCUCCUUGACUUUCCCCAGGGCCACCAGGUCGGGGGCGCCAGGCUGAAUGGAUGGCCUGGCGAGGGCCGGAAACUCGGGCAGCAGGAGGCUCCCUCUAGGGGGGAGUUCCUGGAGGCUCCCUCUGGGGUGGAGUUCCUGGAAUUCAGGCCCAAUCUCCUUGACUUUCUCUGGGGCUACCAGAUCGGGGGCUCCAGGCUGAAUGGAUGGCCUGGCGAGGGCUGGAAACUCAGGCAACAGGAGGCUCCCUCUGGGGCGGAGUUCCUGGAAGCUCUCUCUGGGGCGGAGUUCCUGGAACUCAGGCCCAAUCUCCUUGACUUUCCCUGGGGCUACCAGAUCGGGGGCUCCAGGCUGAAUGGAUGGCCUGGCGAGGGCAGGAAACUCGGGUAGCAGGAGGCUCCCUCUGGGGCGGAGUUCCUGGAAGCUCUCUCUGGGGCGGAGUUCCUCUCUAGGGUAGUCUGUCUGUGGGGGGAUUACUUCCACUGUGGGCAUGCCAUAGGCAACAGACGUAGAGACUACUUGGGGAGCCUUUAGGGACUCCAAUUGCGAGGCAAGGGUCUCCAGAUGGGCCGUUUCCACCCACUCCAUCUGCUUCAGUGGGGAUGUCUGCUCCAGCAGCCAGCAAAGGCUGUCCAUGGUUUUUUUGGUGAUUGUCCCUUUUUGGCGAAGCUUCCGCAGGGCAUUCUGUAAUCGGUCCCAGCCUCCUCUAGGGAGCUUGUGCAUGAAUUCACUGUAUGUAGGAGGCAAGCUUCUAUCCCGUCGGGCCAUGGCCCCCUUGAAGGCCCUGAUACUCUGAUGAAUCCGCAGAAACCACCUCCAGCGUUCUUGGGCUGACUUUUUUGGGGAAGCCACAGUGUCCGGUCCCAUGACUUCCCAGGUGGGACUCUCUGGACGCCCUUCAGAUGGAGUUGGGGUUGGGGUUGGGGCAACUGGCUCCUUUGGCGUGAGUGGAAACCUCUGGGCGGUGGGGAGGGGUGGAGGUCUGGGCUUGUACUUGGAUUUGGCCAAAGACAAUAACUUCUCCUCUUGAGAAUCACUGGGCAUGGGGGAGAUCACAGCUUGCUUACGUCUAAGUUCUGAAGUAGAUUCCAGGUAAGGCUUUUGGGGACGAAAUGAUUUCCCUUCAAUUUUCAACUCGACCUGUUUCAUAUCAUCUUUCCUCGGUAUCAUGGCAGGCUUCAGAUCUACCUUUUGAACAUCAAGGUCCUUUGGCUGGACCAGUCCCGCAGGGGAAAUGAUCUUCUCUGCAGGCUCUCUUACCCUUUCCACACCAAGGCCCCUUAACUGGAUCAAUCCCUCAGGGGAAAUGACCGUCCCUGCAGGCUCUCCCACCCUUUCCACACCAAGCUCCCUUGGUUGGACCAAUCCCUCAGGGGAAAUGAUCUUUCCAGGAGGCUCUCCCACCCUUUCAACACCAAGGUCCUUUGGUUGGACCAGUCCCUCAGAGGAAAUGAUCUUUCCUGGAGGCUCUCCCACCCUUUCAACACCAAGCUCCCUUGGUUGGACCAAUCCCUCAGGGGAAAUGAUUUUCAGGAGGCUCUCCCACCCUUUCCACACCAAG
This is a long non-coding RNA of Sarcophilus harrisii (Tasmanian devil), 2252 nucleotides long. The record is from Ensembl. Lineage: Eukaryota; Metazoa; Chordata; Mammalia; Dasyuromorphia; Dasyuridae.